AUGAGCAAUGAGCUACUGGAACUACUAUACUUCAUUACAAGUAGUCAAAAGGAAGGCGCUGAAAAAAUUGAUCUCAACAAGGAUGUUCUUCAAGCUAGCCGGAUGAAGGAAGGAACCGGCAAGGCCACUCCUUACCAUUUAACUGGAAUUAACCGAUGCAAGUCCAAGAAGGAUUGGCCAGUGCUGCCGGCUAGCGUCAAGUUCGAUCCCAUGGAUCAGGAGCUGAUCGAGCACCUUGAGGCCGAAGUGAGUGCUGACAGCGCGAGAUCUCACCCUCUCAUCGAUUUGUUCAUACCAACCAUCCACGGCGAGCACAGCAUAUGCUACACCCAUCCUGAGAAACUUCCAGCGCAACUCCAGGGCAUUCAAAAGGAGCACGUCGACGCGUCGCAAGAUAUAGUCGGAGUGCGGCAUGCACACGAUGUGGCACAAGACCGGCAAUACCUUGCCGGUGAUGGUCAACGGGCAGCAAAAAGGUUCUGCUGUUGCAUACCAACAAGAACUUCGACCAGCAAAGGACCAACUGGGUGA
This 531-nucleotide ribosomal RNA is filed under the name Triticum aestivum (bread wheat). RNAcentral describes it as "partial small subunit ribosomal RNA". The record is from RNAcentral. Lineage: Eukaryota; Viridiplantae; Streptophyta; Magnoliopsida; Poales; Poaceae.